AUGGACACUGUUCAGCAACUGGAAGAAAGAGGGCACCUGAUGGACAGCAAAGGCUUUGAUGAAUAAUAAAUACAUGAAGGAACUAGGAGUGGGACUAGCCCUCUGCGAAAAAAAGGGUGCUAUGGCCAAAAAAGAUUGUAUUAGCUUUUUUGAUGGCAAAAACCUCACCAUAAAAAUGGAGAGUACUUUAAAAUCAUACAGUUUUCUCACACUCAGGGGAGGGAAAUUCAAAGAAACUACAGGUGACGGCAGAAAAACUCAGACUGCACCUUUACAUAUGGCACAUUGGUUCGACAUCAGAAGUGGAAUGGAAAGGAAGGCAAAAUAAGAAAAUUGAAAGACAGGAAAUUAGUGGUGGACUGCAUCAUAAACAAUGUCACCUGUACUCAGAUCUAUGAAAAAGUAGAAU
This 409-nucleotide long non-coding RNA is filed under the name Homo sapiens (human). RNAcentral describes it as "non-protein coding lnc-DTWD2-11:1". The record is from RNAcentral. Lineage: Eukaryota; Metazoa; Chordata; Mammalia; Primates; Hominidae.